GAUGAAGAACGCAGCGAAAUGCGAUAAGUAAUGUGAAUUGCAGAAUUCAGUGAAUCAUCCAAUCUUUGAACGCAUCUUGCGCUCCUUGGUAUUCUGAGGAGCAUGCCUGUUUGAGUGUCAUUAAAUUCUCAACCGCACUGACUUUGAAUUGGUGUGGCUUGGAUUUGGGGGGAAAAUUGUUGUGGGCUUUUUUGUAUAGUCUGCUCCCCUGAAAUUGAUUAGCGGUACCUUUGUGGAACUGUCUACAGGUGUGAUAAUUAUCUACAUCCUAGACAUCUGCUGGAAUGCUGCUUUCUAAACCUUACUUGUAUUGACCAUCUUGACCUCAAAUCAGGUAGGACUACCCGCUGAACUUAAGCAUAUCAAUAAGCGGAGGA
This 377-nucleotide unclassified non-coding RNA is filed under the name soil metagenome. Its description in RNAcentral is "partial contains 5.8S ribosomal RNA, internal transcribed spacer 2, and large subunit ribosomal RNA". The stretch from base 1 to 120 matches the Rfam family "5.8S ribosomal RNA", at positions 35 to 154 of the family's 154-position model. The record is from RNAcentral.